RNAcentral lists this ribosomal RNA (253 nucleotides) under uncultured bacterium. RNAcentral describes it as "partial 16S ribosomal RNA". It matches the Rfam family "Bacterial small subunit ribosomal RNA", at positions 524 to 776 of the family's 1533-position model. The record is from RNAcentral.
UACGUAGGGUGCGAGCGUUGUCCGGAUUUACUGGGCGUAAAGAGCUCGUAGGCGGCUUGUCGCGUCGACUGUGAAAGCCCUCGGCUCAACCGGGGAACUGCAUGGGAAACUGCUGAGCUUGAGUCCGGGAGAGGAGAGUGGAAUUCCCAGUGUAGCGGUGAAAUGCGUAGAUAUUGGGAGGAACACCAGUGGCGAAGGCGGCUCUCUGGACCGGUACUGACGCUGAGACGCGAAAGCCAGGGGAGCAAACGGG